UACGUAGGGGGCAAGCGUUGUCCGGACUUACUGGGCGUAAAGCGCGCGCAGGCGGACUGGUAUGUGCCGUGUGAAAGCGCCGAACUUCCUUCGGCGAGGCCAUGGUAGACAGCCAGUCUUGAGCCUCGGAGAGGUCGAUGGAAUUCCUGGUGUAGCGGUGAAAUGCGCAGAUAUCAGGAAGAACACCUAUGGCGAAGGCAGCUCUCUGGGACGGUACUGACGCUGAGACGCGAAAGCGUGGGGAGCGAACAGG
Molecule: ribosomal RNA, 253 nt
Filed under: uncultured bacterium
Lineage: Bacteria
Description: partial 16S ribosomal RNA
Rfam family: Bacterial small subunit ribosomal RNA
Source: RNAcentral